GUGUCAGCAGCCGCGGUAAUACGAAGGGGGCUAGCGUUGUUCGGAAUUACUGGGCGUAAAGGGCGCGUAGGCGGCCUUGAUAGUUGGGCGUGAAAGGCCUGGGCUCAACCCGGGAACUGCGUUCAAUACUGUAAGGCUAGAGUGUGGGAGAGGUUGGUGGAAUUCCCAGUGUAGAGGUGAAAUUCGUAGAUAUUGGGAAGAACACCGGUGGCGAAGGCGGCCAACUGGACCACAACUGACGCUGAGGCGCGAAAGCGUGGGGAGCAAACAGGAUUAGAAACCCCUGUAGUCC
This 292-nucleotide ribosomal RNA is filed under the name uncultured bacterium. RNAcentral describes it as "partial 16S ribosomal RNA". It matches the Rfam family "Bacterial small subunit ribosomal RNA", at positions 505 to 796 of the family's 1533-position model. The record is from RNAcentral.